GACGAACGCUGGCGGCGUGCUUAACACAUGCAAGUCACGGGGCCGCAAGGUAACGGCGAACGGUGCGUAACACGUGAGCAACCUGCCUAGAUGUGGGGGAGUAGCCGGCCCAACGGCCGGGUAAUACCGCAUACGGUCACGAGGAGGAGUCUCCUUCGUGAAGAAACCUCCGGGGCGAUUUAGAGGGGCUCGCGGCCUAUCAGCUAGUUGGUGAGGUAAUGGCUCACCAAGGCUUCGACGGGUAGCUGGUCUGAGAGGAUGGCCAGCCA
Molecule: ribosomal RNA, 269 nt
Filed under: uncultured bacterium
Lineage: Bacteria
Description: partial 16S ribosomal RNA
Rfam family: Bacterial small subunit ribosomal RNA
Source: RNAcentral